UCUGGCGCUUGUCUAUGUUCCUUGGAACAGGACGUCACAGAGGGUGAGAAUCCCGUGCGACGGGCUGCCCAGAUCCGUGUAAAGUUCCUUCGAAGAGUCGAGUUGUUUGGGAAUGCAGCUCUAAGUGGGUGGUAAAUUCCAUCUAAAGCUAAAUAUUGGCGAGAGACCGAUAGCGAACAAGUACAGUGAUGGAAAGAUGAAAAGAACUUUGAAAAGAGAGUGAAAAAGUACGUGAAAUUGUUGAAAGGGAAGGGCAUGCGAUCAGACUUGGUAUUUUGUACGUCUUGUCUUCGGGCGGGGCCUCUGCAGCUUGCUGGGCCAGCAUCGGUUCGGGUGGCAGGACAAUUGCGGAGAAAUGUGGCACGGCCUCGGCUGUGUGUUAUAGUCUCU
This 390-nucleotide ribosomal RNA is filed under the name Scheffersomyces shehatae. RNAcentral describes it as "eukaryotic LSU rRNA". It matches the Rfam family "Eukaryotic large subunit ribosomal RNA", at positions 169 to 556 of the family's 3401-position model. Lineage: Eukaryota; Fungi; Ascomycota; Pichiomycetes; Serinales; Debaryomycetaceae. The record is from RNAcentral.